GCACCAGGUAGUCCUCGGGAGUACAGGACAUCCCUCUUCCUACCUACCCCGAGGAACCCAGGAAGCAGGGCCCACGGAGGCACAGGGCUUCUGCAGACGAGCAGAUGGCAGGCCUGAGCUGGGGCGUCAGAGACGUCCAUAGUUGGGGCUUGGUGAUGCUCUGGCAGGCUUCCUCUGCCCAGGCAUCUCCUCCGAGCCAGGCUCUCCCUUCAUGCCACAAACCCUGCCACCCACAUCUCCUGGUAAGUAUGCUCUAGAUAGGGCACAAAAUUCACAGAAGCUAAAUCAGUUGCCAGGGUCACACAGUCUGAGCCAGACUGGAGCCAAACCAAGAAGGGCUCUGCUCACGAGCCUCCCCUGGGAGGAAGCCAUCAUUUCCCUCUUUCUUUCCUCCUCUAGAGACUUGGCCCAGAAUCGGCUCUGUCCCAGGAGGGCCCUGCUGUCAUCUAUCAGUUAACCUCUCUGCUGACUUUAGGGUAGCUUCUUCUCUGUCCCUGCCUUUCUUGUUCUGCCUGACGUGGCUGCUUCAGGGACCGCUUCCUAGCCUUCCUCAGCAGCCCUGACAACGGGCUUGUGAAGACAGGGCAGAGGAGGCUGCAGGGAAAGGGGAGGGGUAUCAGCUGGGAUUGUGGGACACACACACACACACACACUUUUUACCAUGCUGGGAAUGAACCUAGCGCAGCCUCCCAUGUGCUAGGUAAGUGUUCUAUCUCUAUCCACACACUUGCUUCUUGAUCCUUAAAUGCAAUGAAAAUAACCUUGACUCUAUAGCAGCCCAUUCCCAAGGGCAGUUUGAACAUAAUUGGAAGGGAUUUAGAAACACAGCCAUCGUGGAUCCAGAAUAGAAAUCUAGUC
This 858-nucleotide long non-coding RNA is filed under the name Mus musculus (house mouse). RNAcentral describes it as "long non-coding RNA chr7:19050194-19051052". The record is from RNAcentral. Lineage: Eukaryota; Metazoa; Chordata; Mammalia; Rodentia; Muridae.